Molecule: long non-coding RNA, 6495 nt
Organism: Mirounga angustirostris (Northern elephant seal)
Lineage: Eukaryota; Metazoa; Chordata; Mammalia; Carnivora; Phocidae
Exons: 3
Source: RefSeq, a predicted model, not a curated record
CCACAAAAGACAGACAUUUCCUAACCCUCCCUACCUCUGAUGGCCUGAUCUGCCUAAUUUAGUCUGUAUUUUAAAGGCAGAUGCCCAGCUGUGUCCUUCCUCUUUGCUCUACUUCCCUCAGUCCAAAUAGCCUCCUUCUCCUCCCCAAAUGACCUCUAUUUUGCCUAAUGUCUCAGCCUACCGAGGCAUAUGACCGGGCUUCAGCUUCCCUUUUCCUCAAGGCACAGCAGGAAUGGGAGAAGGAGGUGAAUUCCAGAAAGACUUCGCGGAAGAAUUUGUGUAAUUUUACAUGGAGACUCAACAGGACUUGGGGCCUGUCUGGAUGUGGAGGUUGAAGGAGGAGACAACUGUGAAGGUUUCCACCCUGUCAAUCUUGUUGGCAACUCAAAUUACAGCUGGAAGACUUAAGCAGCCUCCAGUGAGAACUGACAGACUGAGGCUGGAGAACCCUUUCUUUGCUAAAUCUGAGAGACAGCGACUAGUCGGUGAGGGGAGGAUGGCCCUCAUAUUAAAACCACUUGUAAUGACAGUUCUAAGAUACUGUACCUGGAACUUCAGAUGACCUCUAUGCAAUACUUUGCAACUUUAAUUGAUUGCCAUUCUUCUUGAGGAAGAAUGGAAGGAUUGGAUCCCUUCGAACCAUCCUUUGGAAUGAAGAGGAGCCUCUCAAUCAAGGGGACAGCAACCUGGCUUCCAGAACAGAUCACUGGCUUCUGGGCCUCAAAUGGAGAAGAGAGAGAACCACAAAACCUAGGACAUGUCUGGAGAGAACCAUGGUUAUUAUAUUUUAGAGAAAGGAACCACACCAACCCUAGGCUAGGACAAGACAUGAAGUUCAUGCCAAAAAUACCUGGGUGGAUGGAGGACGUGAUCUCGAAUCGGAAUUGCAGCUGUCCACUCACAUGAUCUGUUGGAAGCCUGCGGCCAAGUGUAUAGCUGACCACCCUAUCCCUAGAAGGAAAUAAGCACCAUUUACAGAUCUGGUCAGUACCUCUCCUUGAAGAUUACACAGCAUGCUUUCUAUGCCAGGAGGUGAGAUAGGCAAGUCCGGGGAGGCCCUGCUAAUAGGAGGUGAUGAUCCGCUCAGGUGCAUAGAAGAUGGACAUAAGGUAAAGGUGGGAAAGUACAUCUGCUCAACAGCAAUGAAAAACGUCAAGAAAAUCCUUAUUGAAUAUUCUAAAGCAGGAGUGAGCAAACUGUGGCCCAGGGCUCAAAUCUGGCCCACCACCUAUUUUUGUACAGCUAUGAGCGUUUUACAUUUUAAAACGGUUAGAAAAAAAAAAUAACAAAAGAAGAAUAAUAUUUUGUGACACAGGAAAAUUGUCUGAAAAUCAAAUUUCAGUUCCCAAAAUAAAAGUUUUAUUAGAAUGCAGCCAUGCUUAUUAGUUUAUUGUCUGGGGCUGCUUUCAUGCUACAACGGCAGAGUUGAAUAGUUGAAACGGAGACUGCAUGGUCCACAAAGCCUGAAAUAUUUACUACUUGGCCCCUUACAGAAGGUUUUCUGCCAGCCUGUGUUAUAAGCCAAGAAAACCCCAAAAAGACAACAAUAACAACAAAAAAGACAUGGAUAUCUUUGCUUGCUUUUCUUGUGCAGGCUGACAUUUUCCAAUGCCCUUAAUGGACAUUGCCAGCAACAGACGCAUGUCUUGCAGUAUAUAUGCAUAGUGUCUAAGAAAGGAUGCUGUCAUGGUUACUGGAGUGGUGUGGAGAGCUGUGGAGUGCUUCAGAAAGGGACCUGCUGCAGGAUGGACUGAAGCAAGACUUGUAGGUUGGUUUCCAGUUACACCAACUCCACAGUCCUACAUACAGAUUCUGAAACUCCAUCCUGGCAUCUGGCAUCAUCCCCUCUGCCCACUCAGGGCAAUUUCUUGAUUAUAAAGAAGAGAAUUAUCCAGGGGGAAUCAACUUGAAAGUUUGCUUUUACAGUUUCAUCAACAAUGUAAGCUUUAGCAGAGUACAUUACCCGCCCCCCCACCCCCACCUUGGUUUAAAUAGGAAAGGUAACUACCUUGGCUAUUCAAGAAUUAACAAAUCCAGUUUAUCUAAUACUAACAAGACAUAUUCCAAAACCGUUUGUUACUCAGAUGAUUCUGUAUUCAUUCCAUUUAUUCAUUGGUCAUACUAAAAUAAAAAGGUAAGUUGCUGGCUGGUAGUGUUUUAAUGUUUCUAGAAAAUACCAGCAUUAUGAAACAACAUAUAUCCCAAUGAUACUCUAAGUUAAUAUAUUUCUUUGGUAAACCGUAGUUUAGUGUUUGAAGUUCCUAGGAGGUCCAUUAAAUAAAGCAUUAUAUGUAGGAAAACAGAAUGAACCACAAUAUUUUGUUUAUUUAGAAAGGACCUUGGUCAAUAUUAUGAAGCAAAUCUACUUAUGACCAUAGGAAAGAGAUCUUGAACCCAAAACCUAGUUGAAAUCAGGAGAUGCCUAAAGAUAACCAGGCAGUGAGACAAAAACUAAAUUUGCUAUGCCUUGCAUUUGUUCCAGGCUUUUCUGCCAAUUCUCCUCAUUCCUUCGAUAUCAUUCUAAGGGUUACAAUUGUAUAGCAUGGCAUAGCGUAGAUUUAUGGCCAGAGAGCUAUACUUAGCAUUUACAAAUAUAGUUGCUGCUAACUAAGGAAGUAUAUACUAUAUAGAAAUAUUUCAUCUGGUAAGAGUCCAUUUUAAUGAGAAUCAUGAGAGGACAUGAAAAUAAAAGAUACUAACAGAAACAUUCUUAUAUACAACUGAAUUCUGCAAGUAACUUAAUUGCUGUCAUCCAUGAGAAUUCAUGCUUUUAAAAUUUCAUACAUAGUAUCUAGCAUUUUCUACAAAUACUAGCAUUUUCUAAGUCUCUCUACUCUAGUAACCCAGGAUUUCAUCUUGUUAGAGGAGCGUCCCAAAUGAUUAAAUCCUACACACAAGCAGAAAUAAUAUUCUUGAUAGUAAAGCAAAUUUUAAUUUCUACCUGUAUAGAAAAAUGCCCCAUUUUUUAGUUUACUUAUUGUCUGGGGCUGCUUUCAUGCUGUAACAGCAGAGUUGAAUAGUUGAAACAGGGCUUCUUUCAAUAUUGUCUUGGGAUUUUCUACUCUCUUGCAUAAGUAACCAGCGGUACACAAACAAGAGGAAAGGGAAGGGUUCAUUUAAUUGAAUGUUGUGGCUGGAGCAACAUAAUUAAUGGGAGAAGCCAAGGAAAUUCAAUACCACCAUUUUAGUUUGAGUCUCCGCGAGACUAUAUUGUUGCAGCUUGUAGGCCUCCCUUUGCCUGCUCGCUGAAGACUUAGUGAUAUUGAGGUCUCAGUCACAGGUUUACCCUAUGGCGUGUCUUUCCAGGAGUCUUUGAACGGGCAUCGACAGCUUUCCCAAGAAGCGCUUGAUGAUGGGGCGGCUCUUAGCAAACUUGUCCUUCACCUCAAUUUCCAGUACAUCAGUGGGCAAGGACACAAAGCUGAAUUGCUGCAAUGAAAUAAUAUGUCACAUCAAUUAACUGAGAGGUGAAAGGGCUGGCCAAUUCCCAGCCCGUCUGCCUUGGAUGAAGUCAUUAUAAAACAUCCCAGUGGCAAUAUAUAUAUCAAGGUCUUAGAAAUGCUGUGAGCUCUGUUUAUUCAGUAAAUGAAUAAUAACAACAUUGAGGUACUUUUUUGAUGCUUAAAAAUAAGGCUAUUCUCCAAGAUUCAAAUAAUAAAAACAACUCACCUUAAAGACAAAGAACCCACUUAGGCCUCACUAUACUAAAAGUAUUAACAUAUUUAAAGAAAGAACAAGCACACACUCACCUAUAAUUAAGGAAAUACACUUUAAACCAUAACAAAACACCUCUUUUCCUUGAUUAUAAGGGCAGAGAUUUAAAAAUGUUUCAUAGUAUCCUGUGUUCUUGACAGUGGAAAAAGAAUUCUCACACUGUAUUGAUAUACAAUCCCAUUCAAUUGAUUCAACCUUUGGGAAAGGAAUUGGCAAUAUUUAUUGGCAUUUAAGCUGCAAAUUCCCUGCAACUCAGAAUUCCAAUUUUAGGAAUUUUCCCUCUGGAUUAAUUUGCACACUUGUGCAAGUUAACAAUAGCAAAAGACUGGAAAGACCAAAAAUGUCUAUCAACAGCAACCAGUUAAAUUAAGGAUAGUAAAUCUUUGAAAUAGAAAACUCUGUUGUAAUUAAAAAGAAAAAGAAACCGGUAAAUAUGCACCAACAUGAAUAGAUACUUGAAAAACAAAGUAAAAAAACAAGAUGUAGAACAAUAUGAAGAGUGGGAUUCAUUUGUGUUUGGAACUGCAAAGAAAAUGCCUGGAGGGGUGGACUCCAAACUCAACCUUAGGAAGUAGGUUAGUAGGGAGGAGAGAAAGCAGAUCUUUUUCAUUUGAUUCUAAACUAUUCAUUUUUUAAAUAGCUGUAUGACCAGUUAAAUUAAGGAUAGUAAAUCUUUGAAAUAGAAAACUCUGUUGUCAUUAAAAAGAAACAGGUAAAUAAGUUAAAUUAAGUUAAAUUAAGUAGGCUAGUAGGGAGGAGAGAAAGCAGAUCUUUUUCAUUUGAUUCUAAACUGUUCAUUUUUUAAAUAACCGUAUGACUUUUAAAAUAAAGGCAGCAACAAUUAAAGAAAGACUGUAACCAUCAGAAGGUGGCAUAGUAAACAAUGAAAAGUGUAGAAAAGGAAUAAACAACCUAAACUUACACCUAAAGGAGCUAGAAAAAGAAGAGCAAACAAAACUAAAAGCCAGCCGAAGGAAGGAAAUAAAGAUUAGAGCAGAAAGAAAUGGUAUAGAAACUAAAAAACAAAAACAAAAACAAAAAACCAAUAGAACAGAUCAAUGAAACCAGGAGCUGGUUCUUUGGAAAAAAAGAAUACAAUUGAUAAACCUCUAGCCAAACUCAUCAAAGAGAGAGAGAGAAAGAGGACUCAAAUAAACAAAAUCACAAAUGAGAGAAGAGAAAUAAUAACCAACGCCACAGAAAUAUAAACAAUUGUAAGAGAAUAUUAUGAAAAAAUUUAUGCCAACAAAUUGGGCAACCUGGGAGAAAUUGAUAAAUUCCCAGAAACAUAUAACCUACCAAAACUGAAGCAGGAAGAAAUAGAAAAUUUGAACAGACCAAUUACUAGCAAGGCAACUGAAUCAGUAAUCAAAAAACUCCCAACAAACAAAAGUCCACGACCAGAUGGCUUUAUAGGGGAAUUCUACCAAACUCUUAAAGAAGAGUUGAUACUUAUUCUUUUCAAACUAUUCCAAAAAAAUAUAAGAGGAAGGAAAACUUCCAAAUUCAUUCUAUGAGGCCAGCAUUACCCUGAUACCAAAACCAGAUAAAGACACCACAAAAAAGGAGAACUAUAGGCCAAUAUCUCUGAUGAAUACAGAUGCCAAUAUCCUCAACAAAAUACUAGCAAACUGAAUCCAACAAUACAUUAAAAAAAGUCAUUCAGCACAAUAAGGUGGGAUUUAUUCCCAGGAUGCAAAGGUGAUUCAAUAUUAACAAAUCAGUCAGCAUGGUAUUUCAUAUCAAUAAGAGAAAGGAUAAAAACCAUAUGAUCAUUUCAAUAGAUACAGAAAAAGCAUUUGACAAAGAACAAUAUCAAUUCAUGAUAAAAUCCCUCAACAAAGUAGCAUUAGAGGGAAUAUACCUCAACAUAAUAAAAGCCACAUAUGAAAAACUCUCAGUGAACAUCAUACUCAGUGGAGAAAAUGGACAGCUUUUCCCCAAAGGUCAGGAACAAGACAAGAAGGUCCACUCUCACCACUUUUAUUCAACAUAGUACUGCAGUCCUAGCCACAGCCAUCAGACAAGAAAAAGGAAUAAAAGGCAUCCAAGGUGGCAGGGAAGAAGUCAAACUUUCAUUAUUUGCAGAAGACAUGAUGCUCUAUAUAGAAAUCCAAAAGACCACCAAAAUACUGCCAGAACUGAUAAAUGAAUUCAGUAAAGUCACAGGAUACAAAACCAAUGUACAGAAAUCUGUUACACUUCUAUAUACUAAUAAUGAAGCAGCAGAAAAAGAAAUUAAUAAAAUAACCCAUUUACAAUUGCACCAAAAAAUAAUGAAGUACCUAGAAAUAAGACUUAACCAUAGAGGUAAAAGAUCUGUAGUCUAAAAAGUAUAAAACAUAUUGAUGCAAGAAAUUGAAGAAGGCACAAAGAAAUGGAAAGACAUUCCAUGCUUAUGGAUUGGAAGAACAAAUAUUGUUAAACUGUCUAUAUUACCCAAAGCAAGUUACAGAUUCAAUACAAUCCCUAUCAAAAUACCAACAGCAUUUUUCACAGAACUAGAACACACAAUCCUAAAAUUUGUAUGGAACCACAAAAGACCCUGAAUAGCCACAGCAAUCUUAGAAAAACAAAACUGGAGAAAAACUACCUCCAGACUAGACAUCAUACUACAAAGCUGUAGUGAUCAAGACAGAAUGGUACUGGCACAAAAAUAGACACAUAGAUCAAUGGAACAGAAUAGAAAACCCAGAAAUAAACCCACAAUUACAUGGUCAAUUAAUCUUUGACAAAGGAGGAAAGAAUAUGCAAUGGGAAAAAGACAGUCUCUUCAACAAA